AUGGCCUCAUUGAUACUAUGGGAUGAGGCCACCAUGACUAAGCGACAGGCGGUUGAGGCACUGGACAACAGCAUGCGCGACAUCAUGGGAAGACGGGACCGACCCUUUGGAGGAAAAACUGUUGUGUUUGGCGGGGACUUCAGGCAGGUGCUUCCGGUCGUCAGGAGGGGGUCCCGGGGUCAGAUAAUCGAUGCAACCCUCCGAAGUUCACACCUCUGGAAGGGUAUGCGCCAGCUAAGGCUCAUCACCAACAUGAGGGCUCAUAAUGACACCUGGUUUGCGGACUACUUGCUAAGGGUAGGCAAUGGCACCGAGGAAGUUGACGAUCAAGGAAACAUAUGA
Molecule: ribosomal RNA, 342 nt
Filed under: Triticum aestivum (bread wheat)
Lineage: Eukaryota; Viridiplantae; Streptophyta; Magnoliopsida; Poales; Poaceae
Description: partial small subunit ribosomal RNA
Source: RNAcentral